RNAcentral lists this signal recognition particle RNA (281 nucleotides) under Suricata suricatta (meerkat). Its description in RNAcentral is "Metazoan signal recognition particle RNA (ENSSSUG00005007061.1)". It matches the Rfam family "Metazoan signal recognition particle RNA". Rfam says of the family: The signal recognition particle (SRP) is a universally conserved ribonucleoprotein. It is involved in the co-translational targeting of proteins to membranes. The record is from Rfam by way of RNAcentral. Lineage: Eukaryota; Metazoa; Chordata; Mammalia; Carnivora; Herpestidae.
GCCAGACGCGGUGGUGCGCGCCUGUAGUCCUUGCUACUCGGGAGACUGAGGCAGGAGGAUUGCUUGAGCCCAGGAGUUCUGGGCUGUAGUGCGCUAUGCAGAUCAGGUGUCCACACUAAGUUCAGCAUCAAUAUGGUGACUUCCCGGGAGCGAGGGGACCACAGGUUGCCUAAGGAGGGGUGAACCGGCCCAGGUCGGAAACAGAGCGCUGUACCAGUUUACAUUCCCACCAACAGUGUAGGAGGGUGCCUGUCUCUCCACACCCUGGAGAGGGAAGAUAU